RNAcentral lists this ribosomal RNA (231 nucleotides) under uncultured bacterium. RNAcentral's name for it is "partial 16S ribosomal RNA". It matches the Rfam family "Bacterial small subunit ribosomal RNA", at positions 118 to 347 of the family's 1533-position model. The record is from RNAcentral.
UGAGUAACCUGCCCUUAACUCUGGGAUAAGCCUGGGAAACUGGGUCUAAUACCGGAUAUGACUCCUCAUCGCAUGGUGGGGGGUGGAAAGCUUUAUUGUGGUUUUGGAUGGACUCGCGGCCUAUCAGCUUGUUGGUGAGGUAAUGGCUCACCAAGGCGACGACGGGUAGCCGGCUGAGAGGGCGACCGGCCACACUGGGACUGAGACACGGCCCAGACUCCUAGGGAGCAG